AUGACUUCUCGUAGUGAGGUGUUGUCUAUUUAUAAGCGUUUUGCUGCCAUGGUUCAUACUCAGUUCUCUUCACCCAAUCGUGUUUUUCGUGUUGACUCCGCUGGCGAGUAUAUCUCUAAGAUGUUGCGUGGUGUUCUUGCUGAGCAAGGAACUCUCUCUCAAUUCUCUUGUCCUGGUGCUCAUGCUCAGAAUGGUGUGGCUGAGCGAAAGCAUCGACAUCUUCUUGAGACGGCUCGUGCAUUGAUGAUUGCUGCCUCUCUCCCGCCUCAUUUUUGGGCUGAGGCCGUCUCCACCUCCACCUAUCUUAUCAAUAUACAGCCUUCCGCUGCUCUACGGGGUGGUGUUCCUUUCGAGCGUCUUUUUGAUCGUUCUCCCGAUUAUUCGAUGCUUCGCUUGUUUGGUUGUGUUUGUUAUGUUCUUCUUGCCCCUCGCGAACGCACCAAAUUGACUGCUCAGUCUGUUGAGUGUGUCUUCUUAGGCUACAGUGAUGAGCAUAAGGGCUAUCGUUGUUGGGAUCCUAUCGGUCGUCGGAUGUGUAUCUCUCGAGAUGUGACUUUUGAUGAGUCUCGUCCCUUCUACCCACGCCCAUCUUCCUUGAUUUUUUCAGUGGAGGAUAUCUCUUUCCUCACUUUUCCUGACUCACCUAUCACCCCCGUCGCGCCUAUGCCUAUUCGUUCCACUCCCUCUGCUUUUCCACCUCUAGUCGAUUUGCAGCCACCAUCUUCUCCGGUCUCCUCGCCUAGCAUGUCACCGGAUUACACACCUUCAUCUCCGGUGACUUCUUCGUCUCCACCCCCCGAUUCUACCUUGGCGAUUCCUCCUUCUAUUGUUCCAUCUUUUCCUCAGCAUUACACUCGUCGUUCACGACCUGUGGAUGCCUUAUUGGAUGAGUCGUCAUCUUCCUCUCAGUCUACUUAUGGCUUGCGUUCUCGUCCUCGUCCGCCUGUUGAUCGUUUUGGAUUUCCCACUGCUGGCGCUGCUGUUCUUGAGCCGACUUCUUAUCGUCAGGCUGUUGUUCAUCCUGAAUGGCAGUUUGCGAUGGUAGAGGAGAUUGCUGCUCUUGAACGCACCGGUACCUGGGAUCUUGUUUCUCUUCCUCCCGGAGUCCGUCCCAUCACUUGUCAGUGGGUCUACAAGGUUAAGACUCGCUCCGAUGGUUCUCUUGAGCGCCACAAAGCUCGUCUUGUGGCUCGUGGUUUUCAGCAGGAGCAUGGUCGUGAUUAUGACAAGACUUUUGCUCCUGUGGCCCAUAUGACCACUGUUCGUACACUUCUUGCCGUUGCCUCUGCACGCCACUGGUCUAUAUCUCAGCUUGAUGUUAAGAAUGCUUUUCUUAAUGGUGAGCUACGUGAGGAGGUGUACAUGCAGCCACCACCUGGGUAUUCUGUUCCUGAUGGCAUGGUAUGUCGUCUUCGUCGCUCUCUCUAUGGCCUUAAGCAAGCCCCCCGUGCCUGGUUUGAGCGUUUUGCCUCUGUGGUCACUACUGCUGGUUUUUCAGCCAGUGCUCAUGAUCCAGCAUUGUUUAUUCACCUUUCUCCUCGUGGUCGGACUCUUCUUCUUCUCUAUGUUGAUGACAUGAUCAUCACAGGGGAUGACCCCGAGUAUAUUGCCUUUGUAAAGGCACGUCUUAGUGAGCAGUUUCUUAUGUCUGAUCUUGGACCUCUUCGCUACUUUCUUGGGAUUGAAGUCUCUUCUACCUCUGAUGGCUUUUUUAUAUCCCAGGAAAAGUAUAUCCAGGAUCUUCUUGCUCGUGCUGCUCUUACUGACGAGCGCACUGUUGGGACUCCUAUGGAGCUCAAUAUUCACCUCCGUGCUACUGAUGGUGAUCCUCUCCCUGACCCGACGUGUUAUCAUCAUCUCGUUGGCAGUCUUUUCUAUCUAGCUGUCACUCGUCCGGACAUCUCUUAUCCGGUUCAUAUUCUGAGUCAGUUUGUCUCUGCUCCCACAUCGGUUCACUAUAGUCAUCUCCUUCAUGUUCUCCGAUAUCUUCGGGGCACGAUCUCCCACCGUCUAUUCUUUCCUAACUCCAGUUCUUUACAGCUUCAGGCCUAUUCGGAUGCUACGUGGGCUAGUGAUCCUUCCGAUCGCCGUUCACUUUCUGCUUACUGUGUUUUUCUUGGCGGUUCUCUCAUUGCCUGGAAGACGAAGAAACAGAUUGCAGUUUCCCGCUCGAGUGCUGAGGCUGAGUAG
This 2190-nucleotide ribosomal RNA is filed under the name Triticum aestivum (bread wheat). RNAcentral's name for it is "partial small subunit ribosomal RNA". Lineage: Eukaryota; Viridiplantae; Streptophyta; Magnoliopsida; Poales; Poaceae. The record is from RNAcentral.